Molecule: long non-coding RNA, 274 nt
Organism: Actinia tenebrosa (Australian red waratah sea anemone)
Lineage: Eukaryota; Metazoa; Cnidaria; Anthozoa; Actiniaria; Actiniidae
Source: RefSeq, a predicted model, not a curated record
GAAUUACCCAUCAAACCUUGCGCACUGCAUCCAAGAUGGCGCAGAUCACUACGAGAUUUCUUCGAGGUCGAAUUUCGGCCUUGAGUCGUCAGGUCGCUCGUCCAUUUUCGCUGGGCAGCGCUAACAAUUCAUACAAAUAUGUUGUCGAAGAGGCUCAAGAUACACCUAUGGACAUGAAGACUUCAACAGAUCGUAAUGCAACAACGUUGUUUUUCAGUGAACUGCUUCGUGGUAGGUAUUUAUAAUAUUAACAAAAUUGUAUAUUUCGUUCUGG